GACGAACGCUGGCGGCGUGCGUAACACAUGCAAGUCGAACGGAAAGGCCCUGCUUUUGUGGGGUGCUCGAGUGGCGAACGGGUGAGUAACACGUGAGUAACCUGCCCUUGACUUUGGGAUAACUUCAGGAAACUGGGGAUAAUACCGGAUAGGAGCUCCUGCUGCAUGGUGGGGGUUGGAAAGUUUCGGCGGUUGGGGAUGGACUCGCGGCUUAUCAGCUUGUUGGUGGGGUAGUGGCUUACCAAGGCUUUGACGGGUAGCCGGCCUGAGAGGGUGACCGGCCUCAUUGGGAACGAGAUACGGCCCAGACUCCUACGGGCGGCACUAGUGGGGAUUAUUGGUUAAUGGGCGGAAGCCUGAUUCAGCAACGCUGCGUGCCGGAUGAAGGCCUUCGUGUUCGAAACCGCUUUCGCGUGUGACGACGUGUGAGUGACGGUAAUGGGUAAAGAAGCACCGGCUAACUACGUG
Molecule: ribosomal RNA, 468 nt
Filed under: uncultured bacterium
Lineage: Bacteria
Description: partial 16S ribosomal RNA
Rfam family: Bacterial small subunit ribosomal RNA
Source: RNAcentral